Molecule: ribosomal RNA, 395 nt
Filed under: uncultured bacterium
Lineage: Bacteria
Description: bacterial SSU rRNA
Rfam family: Bacterial small subunit ribosomal RNA
Source: RNAcentral
AUUGAACGCUGGCGGAAUGCUUUACACAUGCAAGUCGAGCGGCAGCGCGGGGGGCAACCCUGGCGGCGAGCGGCGAACGGGUGAGUAACAUAUCGGAACGUACCCAGUCGUGGGGGAUAACUAUCCGAAAGGAGUAGCUAAUACCGCAUACGUCCUGAGGGAGAAAGCGGGGGAUCGCAAAGACCGUCGCGCGAUUGGAGCGGCCGAUAUCGGAUUAGCUAGUUGGUGGGGUAAAGGCUCACCAAGGCGACGAUCCGUAGCGGGUCUGAGAGGACGACCCGCCACACUGGAACUGAGACACGGUCCAGACUCCUACGGGAGGCAGCAGUGGGGAAUUUUGGACAAUGGGGGCAACCCGUGAUCCAGCCAUUCCGCGUGAGUGAAGAAGGCCUCGG